CUUAACACAUGCAAGUCGAACGGAAAGGCCCUGCUUUUGUGGGGUGCUCGAGUGGCGAACGGGUGAGUAACACGUGAGUAACCUGCCCUUGACUUUGGGAUAACUUCAGGAAACUGGGGCUAAUACCGGAUAGGAGCUCCUGCUGCAUGGUGGGGGUUGGAAAGUUUCGGCGGUUGGGGAUGGACUCGCGGCUUAUCAGCUUGUUGGUGGGGUAGUGGCUUACCAAGGCUUUGACGGGUAGCCGGCCUGAGAGGGUGACCGGCCACAUUGGGACUGAGAUACGGCCCAGACUCCUACGGGAGGCAGCAGUGGGGAAUAUUGCACAAUGGGCGGAAGCCUGAUGCAGCAACGCCGCGUGCGGGAUGACGGCCUUCGGGUUGUAAACCGCUUUCGCCUGUGACGAAGCGUGAGUGACGGUAAUGGGUAAAGAAGCACCGGCUAACUCG
Molecule: ribosomal RNA, 446 nt
Filed under: Cutibacterium acnes
Lineage: Bacteria; Bacillati; Actinomycetota; Actinomycetes; Propionibacteriales; Propionibacteriaceae
Description: bacterial SSU rRNA
Rfam family: Bacterial small subunit ribosomal RNA
Source: RNAcentral